UGAACGCUAGCGGCAGGCUUAACACAUGCAAGUCGAGGGGCAGCAUGAGACGGAGAUUCGUCGAAGUCUUGAUGGCGACCGGCGCAAGGGUGCGUAACGCGUGAGCAACUUUGCCCGUUUCUGGGGAAUAACCGGUGGAAACGCCGACUAAUACCCCAUAGUAUCAGAUUGAGGCAUCUUUAUCUGAUUAAAGAAUUUCGGAAACGGAUAGGCUCGCGUGACAUUAGCUGGAUGGCGGGGUAACGGCCCACCAUGGCAACGAUGUCUAGGGGUUCUGAGAGGAAGGUCCCCCACACUGGAACUGAGACACGGUCCAGACUCCUACGGGAGGCAGCAGUGAGGAAUAUUGGUCAAUGGUCUGACGACUGAACCAGCCAUGCCGCGUGAAGGUCACGGCCCUAUGGGUCUUAAACUUCUUUUGUAAGGGAGCAAUAAGCUUUACGUGUAGAGUGAUGAGAGUACCUUACGAAUAAGCAUCGGCUAACUCCGUG
RNAcentral lists this ribosomal RNA (491 nucleotides) under uncultured bacterium. RNAcentral describes it as "bacterial SSU rRNA". It matches the Rfam family "Bacterial small subunit ribosomal RNA", at positions 30 to 507 of the family's 1533-position model. The record is from RNAcentral.